UACAGAGGUCCCAAGCGUUGUUCGGAUUCACUGGGCGUAAAGGGUGCGUAGGUGGCGGGGUAAGUUUGAUGUGAAAUCUCCGGGCUUAACCCGGAAAUGGCAUUGAAUACUAUUCUGCUGGAGGGUUGGAGGGGGGACUGGAAUUCUCGGUGUAGCAGUGAAAUGCGUAGAUAUCGAGAGGAACACCAGUGGCGAAGGCGAGUCCCUGGACAACUCCUGACACUAAGGCACGAAAGCUAGGGGAGCAAACAGG
RNAcentral lists this ribosomal RNA (253 nucleotides) under uncultured bacterium. RNAcentral describes it as "partial 16S ribosomal RNA". It matches the Rfam family "Bacterial small subunit ribosomal RNA", at positions 524 to 776 of the family's 1533-position model. The record is from RNAcentral.